Molecule: long non-coding RNA, 2074 nt
Organism: Bos taurus (domestic cattle)
Lineage: Eukaryota; Metazoa; Chordata; Mammalia; Artiodactyla; Bovidae
Source: Ensembl
GGCUACCGGUUCUGUUUCCAAGUUGUUUACCGUCCAAGAAGUUAGAAGAGCAAACAGUAAUUUGAAACCAUAACACACACGGCUUUCUCCAGUUAAGGCAGCGGGGCUGCUCCUCACUGCAGUGCGGAGGCUUCUCUUGUGGAGCACAGACUCCUGAACCCAGGCUCAGUAGUUGCGGUGCCCUGGCUCAGCUGCUCCUUGACAUGUGGAAUCUUCCUGGAUCAGGGAUCAAACCCAUGUCCUCUGCAUUGGCAAGCAGAUUCCCAACCACUGGACUGCCAGGGAAAUCUGAAAAUGCACCACUCUGGAGAAAGUGAAGAGGGUGAGCUUUUUGUUGCAAACACCGUUAUUCAGGUUUUGACUGGCCUUGGCACAAAGACAAUCCCUGCCGAAACACCCAGUGUCAGUUUCCUCACAGUUCCAUCCUUCUGUGGGCUGACCAGGCUAAAACUGGCAGGGGGAGCAUGGCAUGAAAUCCAGGACUUCUCAUCUUCACUCCUAUUAAAUAGCUUGCCGGCUCCCUCCUGAAGAAAGAGGCUUCUAUGUUUAAUCUAACUCACAGAGGGAGUGGUAUUACAUGUUCAGGCAUUUGUAAAGUGGACGAAAAAAUUUCCCCUCACAUUCUAAGUUCCUUUUAUGUAGCGUUCUUGUGCAUAUGAUCACCUUGUGUAAAUUGUAUAUUAAGUCAUAAAAAAGACUAAAAUGUACCUAUACAAAAUAUUUUCCUAUUGGUGAUGAUGUUUCAGGACUAGGCUAGAGAACAGGGCAAAUGACUUUAAUUUUUCUUGAAAUGUCGCUGGUUUUCUAAGUAAAACCCUAGAUUCACUGCCUACUACAUCCUUUUGUUGAGGAUGCAGGUGAAGGAAUUUCUGAAUUUUAGAGUUUCGAGCUGUUGUUUCCUGUGGGAUGAUGAAUGAGCAGUGUUGCUCCCAGGCUCUGGUUUACGAUGGGGGAGGGGAUGCUCAGCAAGCACACAGUGACACACAGGACUUGACUUUACACUGUACAAGGGGAUUUUUAAAAUUUUGAAAUGGCUUCACACACACACACACAAAGGGAGUUUCUCUUCCCAGGAAAAUUGAAUACCCUUUCACUCUGGAUUUGUAUUUAUUUCAAAUUUGGGGUCACAAAGACAGGUCCCACUUGCAAUUUUAAGGGGAGGAUAAAUAAGGAAAAGCAGAGAAAAUGCUAGUUGUUCACACAAUUUGUUCUGCUCUCCAUAUUCCUUAUUAUCAAAGAUUUGAACGUACUUCCUAGCUUCACAGUCUUCCCUUUACAUGCAGGCCCUCGUCACAGUUGAUCUCAAUAAUGAGACUAAUUUCCAAGGGCCCUAUUUACCUGCUGUGCAGAGUCAGGCUAAACCUUGUCUCCUGGAGGGGAGGGCAAAAGGAAGGAAUUCUAGCCAGCAGCUCUACCGCACAGGAACUCAUAAAAAAGGGGGGCCCCUUGUGAUCCCAUGCUCACGGUACAGAGUCUACAAGGGUCACUUGAUGUUCAAAGACCUUUGUCCUAUGUGACAGGCAGGACUGAGGCACCAUAAAGAAAUCAGAGAGGCUGAUUCAGGAGACUGGAGCAGGCCUAACGGGAGAAGGGGCAGUCACAGAGAUGAUGACUCACCCCCAAAUCCUUAUUAGCAUUAGACUGUUAACAGUCACAUGUGAUUCUACUUGGGCUAAAACUCUGGAGUAAAACUACCAAUGACAUUUUUUGUAUGAGUGUCUUUCCUGUCAAAGUAAGCUGAUUUCUUCUACAUUAGACUGCAAUCAUCAAUAUCACAAUAAAGGACUUUUACCAGAAUUGUUUUCAAAUUCCGGAAGAUUAUUUUUGCGGAUUCUAGGGCUUUCCUGGGAAACCCUGAAACAGACAUGCACCCUAGUCCCUGUGUAUCUAGUUAUAAUCCACACAUUUGAGCAGCUAGGGAACUAGUUAUCAAUUUCUUUUCCCUCUCAAAAAUGGGAGUACUGAAAAAAAAAAAAAAAAACGGGAGCAUUCAAGUUGACUUCCAGAUGGAAAGUCAGUCAUAUAUUCUGACCAACAAGGCUGCCCUGAUGACCUAGAAGCCAUAGGCUAGUUC